RNAcentral lists this unclassified non-coding RNA (250 nucleotides) under plant metagenome. RNAcentral's name for it is "partial contains small subunit ribosomal RNA, internal transcribed spacer 1, and 5.8S ribosomal RNA". The record is from RNAcentral.
GUAGGUGAACCUGCGGAAGGAUCAUUACCAAAACAUACAUCUCAAUAUUCUUAUUCGUGAACGGUUAUGGGAUUUUUAUUUUUAUCAGUAGUUUAACAUAAUCUUGGAAGAUUAAUAUCGAUAGUGAUAUUAAUUGAUGAAAUUUUAUUUUAAAUUAUUUGAAAAAAGUAAAGAACCCAUUUCCAAUUCAAUAUGUUGUUCUUUACACUGAACACAUAUCAUCAAUCGCCUUUCUUUAAUUAGAGGGUGA